UAAGUGGCGGUGUACUUCAUCACAGCCUUCCGUUUUCGAAAACAUCAGUCAAUCCUUCGUUAAGUGAGCAUAAUGGACAUCAAUGACCCAACCAUGCCCAUAAUGGCCAUACAGUACAACAAGGCAUCCUCGUUGGUCUAUGUUGCAAAUGGGCUGCAGCACUUUCCAUGCUUUCAAGCCGAAGGACUUCACUCCGAGGGCAUACUCUACAAGCAAUACAAAUUCAGAGAGACACGAGGAAAUCAAGUCAAAAUCAACCGAUUGUCUUAGACCCUUUUGCACAUGGACAUUUGAGAGCACUCUACUCUUUAGUCUGUUGGAACAAAGUUAUGAUGUUUCCAUUUCACACAAGAAAUCAAUUGCAAGAAGAUCAUGACAGCAGCUUGUCAUGUAAGGCGUUUCAAGCCAAAGGACGGAUUCACUCCAAGAUCAUGUUGUGCAAGCAGCACAAAUUCAGAGAGCCUCAAGGAAAUCAAGGCAAAAGUGUACUGGCCAUACAAACCUCUGUUCCUCUCUCACGUAAUUGCAUAGUUGAUUGUGCGUCACAGCAUCAACCCUUGCACCUUCUAUUGCUGACAUAUACUUGUGAGUGCAAGACUUGUCAAUGAGCACCUGGCAGCUGUUCUCUCCCUGGCAGUGAGUUCAGUCUGCUGCAACCACCUCUCCUUCGACGGUGGAUCAGCAACGAAGGAUCCUAUUGAGCCCUCGGCCGAGACAGAACAAGUUUUUGAGGCGCUCACUACCAAUCGUCGAAGACAUGUCAAAGCCCUUGAGUUGGUCGGUUUCUCUAAGCACUGGAGCUGGGCGUUUUGCCCCUUUUUUGGGUAGUGUAAUGUGGUGGGAGUUAUUUUAACCUGUUAGUGAGGGAAUCAUCUUCUGGUAAAGAUGAUCAUAUAUGUACAAACCUGUAGUGUUUGGUUUGGUUGUAGCUGAUACUUAUUUGUAUAUGGAUUAGGUGCCUUUGAUUUGAUUCAACACGGGCUAGUGAUGAUUUAUAUGUACCAAAUCUCUUUCAUUUUGAUGGAUUUGCGACGGCGCCUGAGAUUGAUUUUCCUGCUGGCAUGGCACAGUAGAAUGUUCAUCAGCAUGCAAAGAUUGCGGAAAUUCAAAUGCUCACAUAUAUGUAUGUAUGUAUGUAUGCAUGUAUGUAUGUAUGCGCUUCUUCC
Long non-coding RNA from Triticum dicoccoides, 1166 nucleotides. RefSeq lists it as uncharacterized. The transcript is spliced from 7 exons. Lineage: Eukaryota; Viridiplantae; Streptophyta; Magnoliopsida; Poales; Poaceae. The record is from RefSeq and is a predicted model, not a curated record.